Molecule: unclassified non-coding RNA, 233 nt
Filed under: fungal sp.
Lineage: Eukaryota; Fungi
Description: partial internal transcribed spacer region
Rfam family: Eukaryotic small subunit ribosomal RNA (bases 1-46)
Source: RNAcentral
AAGUCGUAACAAGGUUUCCGUAGGUGAACCUGCGGAAGGAUCAUUACUGAGUUCAUGCCCUCACGGGUAGAUCUCCACCCUUGAAUAUUUAAACCUUUGUUGCUUUGGCGGGCCGCUUCGGCCACCGGCUUUGGCUGGUGAGUGCCCGCCAGAGAAACCAAAACUCUGAAUUAUAGUGUCGUCUGAGUACUAUAUAAUAGUUAAAACUUUCAACAACGGAUCUCUUGGUUCUG